Podarcis lilfordi (Lilford's wall lizard) is the source of this 359-nucleotide non-coding RNA. The record is from the annotation of a GenBank genome assembly. NCBI's taxonomy places the organism in Eukaryota, Metazoa, Chordata, Lepidosauria, Squamata, Lacertidae.
AGAAGAGAGAAUCGAGGAGGAUUGGAAGAAAUUUAAGAACUAUCUACAAAAAUAUUGUGAUUUGAGUGAAUGCUAAAUAAGAUGCUAGACUAAAUAACUGAGCACCACUUAACUUAGAAGUUUUUAAGAAAAUAAGUAAGACUGUGAAAGUUUAACUCUCUAUGAGAACCAUAAGAUUAUGAAAUAUUGAAGAGAUAUAAGAAUUUAAAUAAGAUGAUAAAUUGCUGACAAAAUGUUAUAACGAUGAAAGUGGGAGCGGGAGAUGUGAGGAAGUCCAAAGAAAAUGUGAAACUAUGUUAAGACAAAUGUUAUAUUGUUUACUAUGUUUAUUCUUACUGUAAAACCCAAUAAAUUGCUUU